Fukomys damarensis (Damara mole-rat) is the source of this 551-nucleotide long non-coding RNA. RefSeq lists it as uncharacterized. The record is from RefSeq and is a predicted model, not a curated record. The transcript has 3 exons. Lineage: Eukaryota; Metazoa; Chordata; Mammalia; Rodentia; Bathyergidae.
UGACACACAUAGCUUACUAAUAAGUGAGGAGGCAUGGCUUCUCUCCACCGUCAUCUUUGAAUGUGCAGAAACUCCUGCAAUUAAUCUAAGCCUACCAGAAGCAACGCUCUUGUGAGAGUGACGUGUCCCUUUACUACGAUGAGAACUAUCGGGAGUAGGGGAGUAGUACCACUUCCAACGCUGGAAGGGCACGCGUCGCAGGAGGCGCUGACAGCAGAGCCAUUCCACACACCUCAGGGGCAGAGAGCCGCGGGAGCCGGGGCCAGGCUGGAAGGAGAGACCCCGGGGAUGACGCCCUAAACCCGCCACCGCUUGCAGUUGCACAACGCGCAGGCCCGAGCACUUGCUAAGUGUCAGCGGCACGGCCCCACAUCGGGAUCAGAAAUGCGAACCAUCCGCCCAGCACACGCUCAGAUGACACGAAAGCUCUCUGCCGCCAGGUGGUGAAGGCUGUUGCACUGGCUGACAGCAGAGCAGGGCAUGACUUACUGUAGAUCUUGGCCUGGGAAGCCGAACACUGAGUACCCUGUACCCCGCUGACCUUGGGCAGC